This 758-nucleotide ribosomal RNA is filed under the name uncultured bacterium. RNAcentral's name for it is "bacterial SSU rRNA". It matches the Rfam family "Bacterial small subunit ribosomal RNA", at positions 574 to 1330 of the family's 1533-position model. The record is from RNAcentral.
GGCGGUUUGUUGCGUCGGCUGUGAAAACCUGAGGCUCAACCUCAGGCCUGCAGUCGAUACGAGCAGACUAGAGUGUUGCAGGGGAGACUGGAAUUCCUGGUGUAGCGGUGAAAUGCGCAGAUAUCAGGAGGAACACCGGAGGCGAAGGCGGGUCUCUGGGCAACAACUGACGCUGAGGAGCGAAAGCGUGGGGAGCGAACAGGAUUAGAUACCCUGGUAGUCCACGCCGUAAACGUUGGGCGCUAGGUGUGGGGCUCAUUCCACGAGUUCCGUGCCGCAGCUAACGCAUUAAGCGCCCCGCCUGGGGAGUACGGCCGCAAGGCUAAAACUCAAAGGAAUUGACGGGGGCCCGCACAAGCGGCGGAGCAUGUUGCUUAAUUCGAUGCAACGCGAAGAACCUUACCUAGGCUUGACAUGCACGGAAAUCCUCCAGAGAUGGUGGGUCCGUAAGGGCCGUGCACAGGUGGUGCAUGGUUGUCGUCAGCUCGUGUCGUGAGAUGUUGGGUUAAGUCCCGCAACGAGCGCAACCCUUGUCUUAUGUUGCCAGCACGUUAUGGUGGGGACUCGUGAGAGACUGCCGGGGUUAACUCGGAGGAAGGUGGGGAUGACGUCAAAUCAUCAUGCCCCUUAUGUCCAGGGCUUCACACAUGCUACAAUGGUCGGUACAACGCGUCUGCGAGCCUGUGAGGGUGAGCUAAUCGCUGUAAAGCCGGUCGUAGUUCGGAUUGGGGUCUGCAACUCGACCCCAUGAAGUCGGA